AAUCAACGCUGGCGGCGUGCCUCAGACAUGCAAGUCGUACGAUUAAAGCUCUCUUCGGAGAGUGUAUAGAGUGGCGCACGGGUGAGUAACACGUAAGUAAUCUACCUUCGAGUGGGAAGUAACAGUCGGAACGAACUGCUAAUACCGCAUAAUGCAGCGGCACCUAAUGGUGGACAGUUGUUAAAGACAUUUAUGUGCUUGUAAGAGGAGCUUGCGGCAGAUUAGCUAGUUGGUAAGGUAAUGGCUUACCAAGCGACGAUCUGUAGCGACCUGAGAGGGUGGUCGGUCACACUGACACUGAAUAACGGGUCAGACUCCUACGGGAGGCAGCAGUCGGGAAUUUUGGG
RNAcentral lists this ribosomal RNA (347 nucleotides) under uncultured bacterium. Its description in RNAcentral is "bacterial SSU rRNA". It matches the Rfam family "Bacterial small subunit ribosomal RNA", at positions 32 to 368 of the family's 1533-position model. The record is from RNAcentral.